This 413-nucleotide ribosomal RNA is filed under the name Armatimonadota bacterium. RNAcentral describes it as "bacterial SSU rRNA". It matches the Rfam family "Bacterial small subunit ribosomal RNA", at positions 1 to 412 of the family's 1533-position model. The record is from RNAcentral. Lineage: Bacteria; Bacillati; Armatimonadota.
GAUGGAGAGUUUGAUCCUGGCUCAGGGCGAACGCUAGCGGCGUGCCUGCGACAUGCAAGUCGAGCGGGGGGAGGAGCUUCGGCUCCGAACCUAGCGGCGAACGGUCGAGUAACACGUAAGCAACCUGCCCCCAAGACCGGGAUAACAGCUCGAAAGGGCUGCUAAUACCGGAUGUGCCCACGCAGAGGCAUCUCUGUGUGAGUAAAACCCGCAAGGGGCUUCGGGAGGGGCUUGCGGCCCAUCAGCUAGUUGGUAGGGUAACGGCCUACCAAGGCGGCGACGGGUAGCUGGUCUGAGAGGACGGCCAGCCGGACUGGGACUGAGACACGGCCCAGACUCCUACGGGAGGCAGCAAUCGGGAGUCUUGCACAAUGGGGGAAACCCUGAUGCAGCGACGCCGCGUGACCGAUGAA